CCUACGGGAGGCAGCAGUGGGGAAUUUUGGACAAUGGGCGCAAGCCUGAUCCAGCAAUGCCGCGUGAGUGAAGAAGGCCUUCGGGUUGUAAAGCUCUUUUGUCAGGGAAGAAACGGUGGGGGCUAAUAUCUCCUACUAAUGACGGUACCUGAAGAAUAAGCACCGGCUAACUACGUGCCAGCAGCCGCGGUAAUACGUAGGGUGCAAGCGUUAAUCGGAAUUACUGGGCGUAAAGCGUGCGCAGGCGGUUUUGUAAGUCUGUCGUGAAAGCCCCGGGCUCAACCUGGGAAUUGCGAUGGAGACUGCAAGGCUUGAAUCUGGCAGAGGGGGGUAGAAUUCCACGUGUAGCAGUGAAAUGCGUAGAGAUGUGGAGGAACACCGAUGGCGAAGGCAGCCCCCUGGGUCAAGAUUGACGCUCAUGCACGAAAGCGUGGGGAGCAAACAGGAUUAGAUACCCUGGUAGUCCACGCCCUAAACGAUGUCUACUAGUUGUACGGGUUUUAAUUAACGUUGGUAACGCAGCUAACGCGUAGAAGUAGACCGCCGUGGGGAGUACGGUCGCAAGAUUAAACUCAAAUGAAUUGACCGGNGUGAGACGUGCGACGGACGACGACGAGGGAGGAGG
Molecule: ribosomal RNA, 625 nt
Filed under: uncultured bacterium
Lineage: Bacteria
Description: bacterial SSU rRNA
Rfam family: Bacterial small subunit ribosomal RNA
Source: RNAcentral